This 426-nucleotide ribosomal RNA is filed under the name uncultured Comamonadaceae bacterium. RNAcentral describes it as "bacterial SSU rRNA". It matches the Rfam family "Bacterial small subunit ribosomal RNA", at positions 356 to 774 of the family's 1533-position model. Lineage: Bacteria; Pseudomonadati; Pseudomonadota; Betaproteobacteria; Burkholderiales; Comamonadaceae. The record is from RNAcentral.
GGGGAAUUUUGGACAAUGGGCGAAAGCCUGAUCCAGCAAUGCCGCGUGUAGGAUGAAGGCCCUCGGGUUGUAAACUACUUUUGUACGGAACGAAAAGACUCUUUCUAAUAAAGAGGGUCCAUGACGGUACCGUAAGAAUAAGCACCGGCUAACUACGUGCCAGCAGCCGCGGUAAUACGUAGGGUGCAAGCGUUAAUCGGAAUUACUGGGCGUAAAGCGUGCGCAGGCGGUUAUGUAAGACAGAGGUGAAAUCCCCGGGCUCAACCUGGGAACGGCCUUUGUGACUGCAUAGCUAGAGUACGGUAGAGGGGGAUGGAAUUCCGCGUGUAGCAGUGAAAUGCGUAGAUAUGCGGAGGAACACCGAUGGCGAAGGCAAUCCCCUGGACCUGUACUGACGCUCAUGCACGAAAGCGUGGGGAGCAAACA